Molecule: long non-coding RNA, 3016 nt
Organism: Syngnathus typhle (broad-nosed pipefish)
Lineage: Eukaryota; Metazoa; Chordata; Actinopteri; Syngnathiformes; Syngnathidae
Exons: 4
Source: RefSeq, a predicted model, not a curated record
AAUAGUCUGCGCUCCCAUUAGGCUAAACAGGAAACCCAGCCAAUUAGCUGUUUAUUCAGAAGCCGACUUCCAGGGUCAGGCCUAGGAGAGAGAGCACUUCCCGGACGGCCAUUGGGCAGACGGAUCGGAGCAGUAUGAACGAGGCGGGCAGGUGGCCGCUGACACACACGAGGCCAAACAAGCUGCUUUUGGUUGCGGGUCAUUGCAUGUAUGCUGGAGUUGUGAAGUGUGGUGCACAGCAGCAGCAGCAGCAGCAGCGGCAGCGGCGGCAGAAGCAGAAGCUUUCCAGAUCACAGCCUAGUGCAGAAGUCCAAACCGCAACCAGAAGGUCGAAAAGCCAAACACAAGAUGAUCACCUCCCUGCUGCCACUACAGCCUCUUCCCACAUUUAGUAAACAUGCCAGGUUAUAUGAAGACUACAAAUUGUCCAUAGGUGUGAAGAAUGGACUGAGAGGGAGCACAAGCAGGGAUCUCCCAGACUGUAAAGUGGCUGUGUCAUCGUUGAUGCAAUAAGUACUUUUGAAGAGGCCUCCAGACCAUGCCGCACUAUUCAGCGUUUGAGUACGUCCAAAUUGCUUAACCUUUUCGUUGUCAAAAUACAACCUGAGCCUAUGAUGCCGAUAGCCCCCUUCAAUCCUGAGUUCAUCAUCUGAGGGUCACUGUGCUCAAUGCAAAAAAGAGACUAAAUGCCCUUGAGCACAACAGGCACUUUAGAAGCAAAUGCAUGUCAAGAUUUGUCAUCAUUGUCCCUGAGCCACCACCAGAGAACACUGCCUGACUGCGAGGUUCGUUUAAUACUUGUCAUGGGAAGGAGCAUCCAUGUAAUUGCACGCAAAAUAUUUUUUGUCUUGGUCGACGAUGAUGGAGUGAGUCAGAACUCUGAGAGACCGCAUUGAGGGGUGGAAGAGAUUAUUAACUCGCAUCCUGAAGUGGAAAAAACGACUACAUAACUUCAAAAGCAAACUAAAUGGAAGACAGUGGCGCAAGAAACAAAAAAACUCAACCAAGGUGGAGCAGCUGCAAAAAAGUAAAGACAAACAAACAAAACUACAACAUCAAAUGUCAUACUUUGAGUUGUUUACAAAAGUUGCACAAAUAGUUUGCUCUAGAAGCCAUUCGAUUUUCAGAAAGCUCUGAGAUGUGGAUAAAGGUUUUUAAUUUCCCUUUUUGUUGUUAUAGUUCACUUUGCUUGACUUCACUAGUGUAACCUUGAGAUUCACUAUAAGGAGUGCACGCCCGCAUUUGCUAUGUGCAUCCCGCUAUUAUAAAGCACGCUGGAUUGUGCUCAAUUUAGCAGACGGCGCUAUAGGCAGCGAGGCUGUGUGGUUUGUGGUCUGCAGAUUUACAUUCAUGUGUGACCCUAUCAGAUGUAGAAAUGUGGAAAGUGUGCAAUUUUAACUCCGAGAGUGUAUGUGUGUGUGUUCACGAGUGGUCCAAAUGCUACUGGUCUAAAAUUAAAGCCAGGGUUUUAGAAACGUCUCUAAUUAAGGUGGGGAGGACCGAACGGCUAUUUUGAGAGCUGCGGCCACGCACGCCCUUGCCACAUAAGUGUGUGUGUUUGUGUGUGUUCAGGCAAACCGAGGCCAUGAAUACACACGCACACACAUACACGCACACAAACACACGAGGGAAGGUCUCCUACUUGGCAUUAGUCGUAUUAGACAACGUGUGCAUGAGGAGUUUUACCAAAGAUGGCCAAGUCGAGAGGCCUGCCUGAAAAAAUAGCUGCCAUGAAUAUUAACAGUUGAAAUUCCGCUACAUGAUAAAAAGUCAGAGACAAACCAAAGCGGAAUGUUUAUGACUGGCUCUCACGAACGCAAUAGUCAUCUUAGCCACGGUGUUAAGUGUUUUUACAUCUCUAAUGAGGCAAUUUGGUGAAUUUAGCAUCUUGAACCCGCGAGUGGAAUGCGGUGCGGACGCCUGGUCACACAUUGUCUCAUUGUUUGGUCUCAUAAGCAGCCUCUGUGUUCUGCUCGUGAGCAAAGCCCGCUGCUGGGAAAUGUUGCGUGUACAAAAGAGCGAAACAAUUUAUCCCACUUUCUCUAUGAAGCAUUUGUGACCACAUUGUGCCUGGGGUAUUGUUUUUAGAUUUUGUGAUUAGCACAACAAGACAGCAAAAACCAAAACACAACUUCAUCACUUUGACUGAUUGAGUCACUGAUUGAGCCAUUCUUUUUUAAUGGGGACUAUUGAUUAUAUCGCUUAAUAGUGUAGUUUGAAAUUCAAUAAUGUAACGCCAUUUACUUUCAUUGUGUUUGAGUACAACUAAGAAAAUGUUCUUAUAUUUAACAAUAAAGGUGCCUUGGCUGGCACAGCCAAAGUCAGUUGGAAUUGGCACGACCCCAGGUGCUGUAGAAAAUGGAUGGAUGUAUUGAAUAUAAUGGAAUUACACAGUACAAUCCAGAAAAUAAGACAAAACAUUGAAAAGGUUAUAUAUCUUACCCCAAAAAUCUACAAGUGAAUUUCAAUGAGGGCUGGCGUCGAUGAUCUUACUAUGAAAAGGGCUCCAGCCACUUUUAACAACACACUCAUGAUUUUGGUCAGUGGGAGGAAGUCCUAAGAAAAAUAUGCAUGCAUGGGAACAGUCACACUGUACAAUGCAAACCUCUUGACCACCAUGCUGCAGAAAGAAUUAUGGUGAGAGGUGUUUGUGUGGUUCUACAACUUUUGGAAUGAGAGACCGGAGAUUGCAAUGUUGAUUUUCAUGCAAUCAGAUACUUCCAUAAACUGAAAUGUAGCUAUUUAUGAUUAAGGAGUUACCUAAACAAUGUAUGUUUUCAUUUUCCAGUGACUUCUUUUUAAUUGGAUGAUCCAGAGAGCGAUAUUUAUUUUUCCUUCGUCUCUUUGAAACUCUGCCGUUGUAAUUAACGUGGCCGUUGGCUCGCACCCUGCUCUCAAUGUGCAAAAUGUAGCCGACCUCGUUGAAAGAAACGCGGUGAUCUCACUGCACAUUAAAUCCCUUUACAAUAGCUCUUUGUUAGUUUCCGAAAAUAAAUCAUUUGUAUGUUCGCCAUUA